This 633-nucleotide ribosomal RNA is filed under the name uncultured archaeon. Its description in RNAcentral is "bacterial SSU rRNA". It matches the Rfam family "Archaeal small subunit ribosomal RNA", at positions 21 to 661 of the family's 1478-position model. The record is from RNAcentral.
ACCUGCCCUGCUUNUCAGAGUGGGACUAAGCCAUGCGAGUUAACGUAGCAAUACGUGGCAUACGGCUCAGUAACACGUAGUCAACAUGCCCAGAGGACGUGGAUAACCUCGGGAAACUGAGGAUAAACCGCGAUAGGUCAUGAUUCCUGGAAUGGUUCAUGGCUGAAAUCUAUAUGGCCUUUGGAUUGGACUGCGGCCGAUCAGGCUGUUGGUGAGGUAAUGGCCCACCAAACCUGUUACCGGUACGGGCUCUGAGAGGAGGAGCCCGGAGAUGGGCACUGAGACAAGGACCCAGGCCCUAUGGGGCGCAGCAGGCGCGAAACUUCUGCAAUAGGCGAAAGCUUGACAGGGUUACUCUGAGUGAUUUCCGUUAAGGAGAUCUUUUGACACCUCUAAAAAUGGUGUAGAAUAAGGGGUGGGCAAGUCUGGUGUCAGCCGCCGCGGUAAUACCAGCACCCCGAGUGGUCGGGACGAUUAUUGGGCCUAAAGCAUCCGUAGCCGGUCCUACAAGUCUUCCGUUAAAUCCACCUGCUCAACAGAUGGGCUGCGGAAGAUACUAUAGGGCUAGGAGGCGGGAGAGGCAAGCGGUACUCAGUGGGUAGGGUAAAAUCCUCUGAUCCAUUGAAGACCACC